RNAcentral lists this long non-coding RNA (1032 nucleotides) under Anser cygnoides (Swan goose). RNAcentral's name for it is "lncRNA (ENSACDG00005011418.1)". Lineage: Eukaryota; Metazoa; Chordata; Aves; Anseriformes; Anatidae. The record is from RNAcentral.
AUGUUUUUAACCGGCUCCGUGCGUGGAAUUUUUAUUUGGCAGAGGGACGGGCUGCUGUCAGGAAGACAGCAGCGAAGAGGAGGCUUUGACCUAACGAAUCUACUUGCAGGGUCAGCCAGCUCAGGUGCUGCUUCUGAGAUGGUUCGAGCCUUCUCCUCCAAAGUGCCAAAAGGACCAGGGCAAAAUCCCAUUGCAGCCACGGGCAGGAACCUCGGUACCCCCCGUCCGCACAUCCACCUGCUCCCUGCAGUGUCCCCUGCCCAACACGGGGACCGUCCCUUGGUUCAUGUGGUCAACGGGAUGCUGGAGAGCCAUAAAAUGAGGGCUAGCAGAGAGCAGCUCCCCCACACACGUACUACCGGCACCGCCAUCCCUGCCUCUGGCAUCUGCUCCGCACCAUCCCUCGUCUCGUCCCCAGCUCUGGCCGAGGUGGCUGCCCACGCGGCGGCACUUCAGAGCCACCAAAAACCCCUCGGGGAUGACACAGGGGCAGCAGCGCUGGUUCCCCCUCCCCUGUCCCCGCUGUUAUUGCUGCAGAUGGCGAAGGAGGACUGGGAGAACCGCCCCAGCUGGCAGCACAGCGCCGAUGAAUCACCGGUGAGCAAUCCUGCCGCGGGGCUUAACCGUGACUCUGCCAGCGGGGACCGGGGCAGCUCGGCUCCCUCCUCCCCACCUCGGCGAGGCCAGCUCCUCGUCCCUACACCGGGGACGCAGCCUUUGAGCCUCUCCGGCCAUCCCUGGAGACCUCCCGCUCGCCACGCCGUGACUUUGACACCUGCUGGCAUCGCGCCGCGGCGCUGCCCGGCCACGCUCCGUGCGCAAGGAGCUCGAGCGCGGCCGCCGGGCUGCCCAAACUCCCCGUCGACGCCCCUCGCAGUCUGCAGGCACUUGGCUCCGCUAUCAAAGAGCCGAGGAGUGCUCUCGCUUUCAAACCUGGAGCCUUUGAGCUCCUCUGACAGCGGCAGCCUCGCUGACCCUUGUCUGGAGGCUUGCAGGGCGUUCAGGCAGUCAGAAGCGCCGGCUGAGUCCUGA